GUUCUCUGCUCAUUUAGCCACGUCUAUUAAUUAAUCUAUCUCCUUUAAUAGCGUCGGACGAAGCAAACAACUGAUAUACUGGAGCGAUUAAUCAAUCUUAUCACAUUCCGAGCAAAGCAACGCGAUGGAU
This 130-nucleotide non-coding RNA is filed under the name Thalassionema frauenfeldii. Lineage: Eukaryota; Bacillariophyta; Fragilariophyceae; Thalassionematales; Thalassionemataceae. The record is from RNAcentral.